Molecule: ribosomal RNA, 510 nt
Filed under: uncultured Glomus
Lineage: Eukaryota; Fungi; Glomeromycota; Glomeromycetes; Glomerales; Glomeraceae
Description: SSU rRNA
Rfam family: Eukaryotic small subunit ribosomal RNA
Source: RNAcentral
AGCAGCCGCGGUAAUUCCAGCUCCAAUAGCGUAUAUUAAAGUUGUUGCAGUUAAAAAGCUCGUAGUUGAAUUUCGGGAUCAUCAGGUUGGUCGUGCCUCUGGUAUGUACUGAUUUCGAUGGUUCCUCCUUCUUGAAGAACCGUAAUGCCAUUAAUUUGGUGCUGCGGGGAAACAGGACUGUUACUUUGAAAAAAUUAGAGUGUUUAAAGCAGGCAAUCGCUUGAAUACAUUAGCAUGGAAUAAUGAAAUAGGACGUUCGAUCCUAUUUUGUUGGUUUCUAGGAUUGACGUAAUGAUUAAUAGGGAUAGUUGGGGGCAUUAGUAUCCAAUUGUCAGAGGUGAAAUUCUUGGAUUUACUGAAGACUAACUACUGCGAAAGCAUUUGCCAAGGAUGGUUUCAUUAAUCAAGAACGAAAGUUAGGGGAUCGAAGACGAUCAGAUACCGUCGUAGUCUUAACCAUAAGCUAUGCCGACUAGGGAUCGGAUGAUGUUAAUUUUUAAUGACUCAUUC